UUAUUGGGCUACUCAGAACGUUAUGUUUUGGAAGCGGACCUGAAAGGGAACAGGCACGCGCUGGGUCAAGAUACAUUUGCUGGAAUUUUCCACUACCUGUGGAGACAGAGCAACAACAAGGAAAAGUCUUUAUUUAAAAAAAAAUAGAAAAGAAAGAAAGUCAGCUGUAACGGGCUGUGGUGGACCCGGUGCCUAUCCCGGUAACCCUGCGCACAAGGCGGGAGAAUUCCCUGUGCAUUUGCACACUCAAUCCACCUAUCUGCAUGUUUUCAGGAGGUUGGAGGAAACCAGAGAACCCAGGGGAAACCCACGUAAACAUGGGGAGAACAUACAAACCUCUUCAAAGACAGUAACCCACACUCAAGAUUGAGCCCAAGCCCCUAGAGCUGUAAGCCAGCAACUCUCUCUCCACUGCACCGUUGUGCCACCGUGCUGCCUGCUAUAGCAACUGCAGUUGUUAAAUGGAAAUUAUGUGAUGGAGCUGUCUAAAUGAAACAAAACCCCAUGUCCUGCUGCAAACAUGAGCAUUUUCAAGUUUAAAAAUAGUUUUGUGCUAAAAUUUCAUGUUUUCUCUUAAUCACAAUAUGCUAAGAACAGUCUCUAGCCUUUCCUUCCUGGUUACAAAUUAAAACCAGAAUAUCUCCA
Long non-coding RNA from Pangasianodon hypophthalmus (striped catfish), 645 nucleotides. RefSeq lists it as uncharacterized. NCBI's taxonomy places the organism in Eukaryota, Metazoa, Chordata, Actinopteri, Siluriformes, Pangasiidae. The transcript has 2 exons. The record is from RefSeq and is a predicted model, not a curated record.